Diorhabda carinulata is the source of this 1575-nucleotide long non-coding RNA. RefSeq lists it as uncharacterized. The transcript is spliced from 2 exons. Lineage: Eukaryota; Metazoa; Arthropoda; Insecta; Coleoptera; Chrysomelidae. The record is from RefSeq and is a predicted model, not a curated record.
UUAUAAUUUUUUCAUAUUAUUAUCUCAUUUAAAAUUAAAUUUUGGAAAUUUCUUCGCAUCCCUACCACUUUCGCGUGCUCGCGUCUGUGUACAUUCCCAUCAGUUAGUUCUAUAGCGACAGUCAAAGUGCAUACUGUGUUGUUCAAUUUAAGGAAAUUAUUCACGUGGAAACUUCGCUGUCAGUCAAAAAUACCGGUGAUCUGUGUUUAGAUUGGGUAUGGAUUGCAACCCGGGGCCCUCCAAAAAAGUUAAAUAUGGGGAUACGAAUUAUGAGCAGAUUUUGAUGAAAUAGAGUCUGAUGACAGCGAUACUGACUCAGAUAACGACUUCAUACCAUCCGAUCAUGAAAGUCAGUCAGAAAUUGAAGCUGAAGAAAUGAACCAAGAAAACCAUGAAGACGUCCGCGAGAAAGUUACUUCCACCGCGUUUUAUGUGAAAAAUAGGUUUAAAUGGUCUCGAUUCCUGCAUUCUUAAAAAUACGUGUACCUUGCAACACAAUAUUUAAUGAACGGAUUUUAAAUGCAGUUCUUCAAUAUACUAAUCCACGAUUGAUGAAAAUAAAACAAAAAUACAAAAAAACAGUGCCGACAUUCGUGAGUUGAAUCUUGUUGAACUAAAAGCUUUCUUGGGCUUCUUGAUUUUUACAUCAAUUUUCAAACCCAAUCAUGAGGAUAUCAGAUCGAUUUUCGCUACAGAUGGCUCUGGGAGGGAUAUAUUUCAUUGCGUAAUGAAUUCGAAUCGGUUUGCAAUUAUUCUUUCUUGUCUGAGGUUUGACAAUGCUGAAAGUAGGGAGGAACGAAAAAGGCAAGACCCUCUAGCUGCUAUUUCAGAAAUAUUUGAUACUUUCAUAUCAAACUGUCAGGAGUUUUACACCAUCGGAAGUUGUGCAUGUGUAGAUGAAAUGCCCGUUUCAUUUACGUGUAUUCUGGAAAGGAUUCUGAUGGUAAUUUCUUGAGCAACGAUGAAAGGGUAUUUUCUAAAUCGACUCAGGCUGUGUUAAAACUGUCCAAACCAAUUUAUACUAACAGAAACGUCACUGCCGACAACUGGUUUUCUUCGUUGGAGGUGGAGGUAAAGACUAAAACGUUUACUUAUAUAGGAACGCUAAAAUAUAAAGGUGAAAAUCCUUGCUUCAUUUUUACCAAAUAAGCAGAGAGGUGUUGGUUCCAGUCUCUAAGGGUUCUCCAGUGAAACAACUCUUCUAUUCUACGUUCCGAAGAAAAACAAGGCAGUAUUACUUAUCUAUUCCAUGCACCAUAAUAAAAAUACUGAUGAAAAAAGUGGUGAACCAGAGAUAAUAGAUUAUUAUAAUACAACGAAAGGAGGCGUCGACAGUUUAGAUAAAAAAUGCAGCGUAUACUCUACGGGUCAUAGAACUCGCCGAUGGCCCAUGGCUAUUUUUUUUUUAAACUUCUAGAUAUAUCAUGCGUAAAUUCACAGAAUUUGCAAGGAAUGUUCUCCUUAAAAGUAUCAAAACUUUACCCCUUGCAGAUUUUUUUAUAUAAUGUUAGAAUGUGUGCCUAGUGUUUUUGAUUAUUACUAAAGUUACUUAAUAAAAUACAGAAUAAAAAAAAA